UGCUGGAGCAGAGGGAGGGAAGGAGCAGGGAGAACUGCAACCCCCAGCAGCUCGGUCAGUGCCGGAUGGACUCGGGACUGGGAAAGGUCACUCAGUGUGAGGGCAGGGACACUGAGCUGGUCCAAGUGUGGCAAGAAGAACAAGUGGGCCGUGAAGGUUUGGAGCAGUCUAGAAGGUUCCUCAUGCCUAAAGGAUCCGGGCAAGUGAAGUCCUGGAAGAGUAUGGAAUAUUGAAAAGUGCCUCAGUUCUCCUGAAGCUCAACUUUGUAAAAUAUUCAUGAAGAUAAAAUCCUACUGUAGCUGAGCUGUUGGGUCCUAAAUACUCUUGGAGGGAGAGGCAGAAACUCCCACUGCUGCUGGGGCUGAACUGCUUGCAGUGACCAGGUGUGACUUGGCCCUGAUGUCUGAGUGCUCUCCAGUCCCCCAGGAUGGAUCCCAACUGUCAGCCCCCGGCUCCAUAACUUGAGGAGAGGGUGUUCCUGCAAGCCUAGCUGCUGUGGUGGUAGUCCUGUGUGCACCUCUUGCUCUGGCCUGUUGUGAAUGUAUUUGUGUUGCAGCUCAGUAAAGUCCCAGUAAUGUG
Myiozetetes cayanensis is the source of this 579-nucleotide long non-coding RNA. RefSeq lists it as uncharacterized. The record is from RefSeq and is a predicted model, not a curated record. Lineage: Eukaryota; Metazoa; Chordata; Aves; Passeriformes; Tyrannidae. The transcript has 2 exons.